Molecule: ribosomal RNA, 327 nt
Filed under: Namea dicalcaria
Lineage: Eukaryota; Metazoa; Arthropoda; Arachnida; Araneae; Anamidae
Description: partial 16S ribosomal RNA
Source: RNAcentral
GCAGUUACCUGUGCUAAGGUAGCAUAAUCAUUUGCCUAAUAAUUAUAGGAUAGAAUGAAAGGAAGUACACGUAGAUUUCUUUAUUAAAAAAAUAUUUUUAACUUUACUAAUAAGUAAAAAAUUCUUAUUUUUUAUAGGAGGACGACAAGACCCUAUCAAACUUUACAAUUAUGUUCAGCUGGGGCGGCAAAAAACUAUAUCUUUUAUUACAAGAUUACUAUGAUAACCUGAUUUUUGAUUUAUUAAGUUACUGUAGGGAUAACAGCACUAUUUUUCCCUAAAGAUCUUAUAUAAGGAAGAGUUUUUGACCUCGAUGUUGAAUUAAUA